RNAcentral lists this ribosomal RNA (1110 nucleotides) under Bacillus subtilis. Its description in RNAcentral is "bacterial SSU rRNA". It matches the Rfam family "Bacterial small subunit ribosomal RNA", at positions 94 to 1224 of the family's 1533-position model. Lineage: Bacteria; Bacillati; Bacillota; Bacilli; Caryophanales; Bacillaceae. The record is from RNAcentral.
AGCGGCGGACGGGUGAGUAACACGUGGGUAACCUGCCUGUAAGACUGGGAUAACUCCGGGAAACCGGGGCUAAUACCGGAUGCUUGUUUGAACCGCAUGGUUCAAACAUAAAAGGUGGCUUCGGCUACCACUUACAGAUGGACCCGCGGCGCAUUAGCUAGUUGGUGAGGUAAUGGCUCACCAAGGCAACGAUGCGUAGCCGACCUGAGAGGGUGAUCGGCCACACUGGGACUGAGACACGGCCCAGACUCCUACGGGAGGCAGCAGUAGGGAAUCUUCCGCAAUGGACGAAAGUCUGACGGAGCAACGCCGCGUGAGUGAUGAAGGUUUUCGGAUCGUAAAGCUCUGUUGUUAGGGAAGAACAAGUACCGUUCGAAUAGGGCGGUACCUUGACGGUACCUAACCAGAAAGCCACGGCUAACUACGUGCCAGCAGCCGCGGUAAUACGUAGGUGGCAAGCGUUGUCCGGAAUUAUUGGGCGUAAAGGGCUCGCAGGCGGUUCCUUAAGUCUGAUGUGAAAGCCCCCGGCUCAACCGGGGAGGGUCAUUGGAAACUGGGGAACUUGAGUGCAGAAGAGGAGAGUGGAAUUCCACGUGUAGCGGUGAAAUGCGUAGAGAUGUGGAGGAACACCAGUGGCGAAGGCGACUCUCUGGUCUGUAACUGACGCUGAGGAGCGAAAGCGUGGGGAGCGAACAGGAUUAGAUACCCUGGUAGUCCACGCCGUAAACGAUGAGUGCUAAGUGUUAGGGGGUUUCCGCCCCUUAGUGCUGCAGCUAACGCAUUAAGCACUCCGCCUGGGGAGUACGGUCGCAAGACUGAAACUCAGGAAUUGACGGGGGCCCGCACAAGCGGUGGAGCAUGUGGUUUAAUUCGAAGCAACGCGAAGAACCUUACCAGGUCUUGACAUCCUCUGACAAUCCUAGAGAUAGGACGUCCCCUUCGGGGCAGAGUGACGGUGGUGCAUGGUUGUCGUCAGCUCGUGUCGUGAGAGUUGGGUUAAGUCCCGCAACGAGCCAACCCUUGAUCUAGCAGCAUUCAGUUGGGCACCUGGGACUGUGAAAGGAGGGGAUGACGUCAAUCUUGCCCUUAGACGGGACGUGCACAUAAGGG